CGCCACCGGAGGCGGCGGUGGGUGGAGCUGAAGUGACUACCACGGUGUCGGUGGAAAAGACCGAGGUCGUCGAGGAGAAGGUUGUGGUGGAGGUAGCGACUGAGGAGGUUCAGAAUGAGGAGGAAGUCGAUCCGGAGGAGAUAGAAGAAGAUGAGGCGGUUGCUACCAUGGAUCUUGAUGAAGCUGUGAAGAAUGUUGAGCAGAAACCUGCAGAUGUGGUUGAUGGAGCUGGUGAUGGUCAACAUAGUGGUGGAGAUAAUAAUGGAAAAGUUUCCGGCGAAGAAGAGAGUGAAGAUGAAGAGGACCCCUCUAUUUUAAUGGAGCCCCUCUUGACAGAGAAGAAAGAACACAAAGAAUUUGAAAUAUUUGUUGGUAAAUUGGACAAAGAAGCAGUUGAGGAUGAUUUAGUUAAGGUCUUUGGUGUGUUUGGGGAGAUCAAAUCUGUAAGAAUUGUUAAGCACCCGUCUACACAGAAAAGUAAGGGAUUUGG
RNAcentral lists this unclassified non-coding RNA (490 nucleotides) under Hevea brasiliensis (rubber tree). Lineage: Eukaryota; Viridiplantae; Streptophyta; Magnoliopsida; Malpighiales; Euphorbiaceae. The record is from RNAcentral.